AACAAGUAGAGAGGAAAAAGGAUAUGCAUAAUGUACUGAAACUAUAAGCGGGAAUUAAAUUACAAAGGCGGGAUGUCAAAUAUUGGUUUUUUGUCUCAUUACUCGACAUCUCCAAACAUCAAAAACAAAACCCUUAUGCUUUUCAGUUCUCAGUUUCUCACCAUCGAUCCUCCUCUCUCCUCCUCUCUCCUCCUCACUCGUCACCAACGACCUUCCUCUCUUUCUGAAGCCGGACCACUGUUGCCGCCUAUGCUGCCUAAUGGCCACAAAAUUUAAUCUCUCAAAUCCGUCCUUAAUUCGCAUAUGAUAAAGGAAUUUUCAGAGGUUAGCACUAUCAAAAUCAAUUUAGGGUUUUUUGAUUUCGUGGUUUAAGGGCUUGAAUCAAAACAAAAACAGUUGAGGAGCUCCUGACAUACUUCUUCCCCAAAUCCCUUGAUGAACUUGGAGUUGAUUAUUUCAAACUUGGAUGAAUGGCAUGAAGAUGGCGAUUAUAUAUUACGAGGGAAAUGUAUCAUAUUCUAUGAAUGAUUUUCUUUAUGAAUUCAUGAAGCUUUAUUGAAGUGUCUAAUCUUAUGAACAUGGUCUUGCCGAUUUAGAUUUUUAUUUGAUCAAGAUUGUUAUGUACUUCUUGUUAGUUUUGAUUUCUAUUGUAGAUGUAAUCAUAUAACUGUUUCAUUUAAUAAAAUUCAAUUUUACAUUGAUAAAAAUGCUUUAGCAAAACGCCUACUGUUAGGAGUUGAGACUAUUCUGAGUUAUCUGAUAUUAUGGGCUCUUUAAUUUGUUGUAAAGUGCAUAAAUAGAAUAGAACCCUCGAUUUCUAUUCUUUCACAUUUAUCUUUGACAUAUAUAUAAGUCACAGAUCUCCCUUAUAAAAUAAAAUAAUUUAUGAUAGGUAAUAAGUAGUCAUCGGGAUGUUAGGAUGUAUCAGCUAAAGUUAAGUCGAAUCAGAGCAAAUUUAUUAAUUAAAUUAAUUGUGAAUAUCGUUUGAUUAUCCCUUAUGAAUUAAAUUUAUUUCAUCCUAUCGAAAAAAAAAAUAGUCAUAGGGUGAGAAGCAUUGGACCAAAUGGAAUAAUCUGGCUAGUCUGUAUGAAAGGGUAAGAGAUCCAAACUGAAUAGGUGGGGACGCUAGUGGGCUUGUCACGCUAUGAUUUAGUUGGGCCUUGGGGGGUAUCGGGCUAGUGAUCAGGAGACUGGCGGGAAUAAAAUGUGGGCUUGUAGGGAGCUUGGGAAGCGGGCUCUUGGGCUUAAAUACGUGCACAGGGUUCACAUUAAUAAUAAUCCACAUGUUCAAUAUAGAACGGCCUCGGCAGUUGGCAUAUCAUGUGCUGGCACUGGCUUAAGAGAGUCAAUAUCUUUGCUAGUGCCUUUAACAUUGGAUGUAGGUGAUUAUUUGGUAGGCGUGGUGCCCUGAUUUCCAUGGCCAUGGUCUGGUUCAGAUUAUUGAAGCUAUGGAUUCUCAGUUUGGAACAUUCAGGUAAUAUUUGUAUCUAUCAUCUCCUUUGUGUUCUUCUCUUCUAUCUUGCAAAAUGAUUAAAAUUUCUUAAAGACUACGUAGGCGAAUUUAAAUAUAUGUAUGUCUUCGACAUCAUGUGAUUGCAUCAAUUCUCUGUUUCUGGUCUGUACCGAAUGCUACUACUCCUCGAGGUUUAUAUAUCUUAUGGUCGGGUAUCUUGGAUCGCUUGCUUACUAAGGACAGGUUGUCUUGUUGAGGAUGUGCUUUUGACUCUCCAUGUGUCUUCUGCAAAGCUGCUGGUGAGUCAAGACAACACCUUUUCUUUGAAUACCAUUACUCAGUUGCUGUGUGGAAUUCUUUGUUGCACUCGCUGAAGUGUCAAAGAGCUGAUGCUGGUUUUGAUGCAGAAAGUAGUAAUGUCAAAUUGUCAACCAGAUGUUUCGAAGGAAAUCUACUUGGGCUGAACUUUUAGUUGCUACGUUUGCUGAAUUUGUCUAUUGUAUUUGGACAGCUAGGUUAGGAUCGUCUUUGAUAAUAUUACUAGGUCCCCUGGUUGUGUGUUUAGAGACUGUUUUUAGGUUGCUUGUUAAGUCUCUGAGGAUUUAAACCAAAAUCUUUUCUUGUAAUUAGUUGCUUAUGCUGCAACUACUACUCCUUGAUUGGGGUUGUGUGAUAUUGACCUAUGUUAGUUUGUCGCAGCAAGUUGACGUUUGGUUCUAAUGGUGUUUUUAGAGCCUAAUGGAAUAUUGGAAUUUCAUCUUUAUUGGGCAAACAAAAAAAAAAGGAGAAAAUAACAUGCCAAUGUAUAGUCCAUAGCUAAUUAGCAACUAA
Molecule: long non-coding RNA, 2284 nt
Organism: Beta vulgaris subsp. vulgaris (sugar beet)
Lineage: Eukaryota; Viridiplantae; Streptophyta; Magnoliopsida; Caryophyllales; Amaranthaceae
Exons: 2
Source: RefSeq, a predicted model, not a curated record